UCAGAGGCAGAGCUCUGGGGUGUCUCCACCAUGGCCUGGACCCCUCUCCUGCUCCCCCUCCUCACUCUCUGCACAGGCUCUGUGGCCUCCUCUGGGCUGACUCAGUCACCUGCGGUGUCUGUGGCCCUGGGAGAGACAGUCAGCAUCACCUGCCAGGGAGGAGUAAUAGAAAUCCUUGGUGCUCACUGGUACCAGCAGAAGCCAGGCCAGCGCCCUGCACUGUUCAUCUAUGAUGAUAGCGAUCGGGAAUCAGGGGUCCCUGAGCGGUUCUCCGGCUCCCGCUCUGGUGGCACGGCCACCCUGACCAUCACUGGGGCCCAGGCUGAGGACGAGGCUGACUAUUUCUGUCAGUCAGCAGACAGCAGUGGUAAUAACCCCACAGUGACACAGGCAGAUGGGGAAGGCUUCUCUGAGUCCCUGGACGCUGCUCCACUGUCCUGUGUCCCUGGGAUUGGCUGGUGUCCCUUGGAGUAG
Non-coding RNA from Tupaia belangeri chinensis (Chinese tree shrew), 474 nucleotides. Lineage: Eukaryota; Metazoa; Chordata; Mammalia; Scandentia; Tupaiidae. The record is from the annotation of a RefSeq genome assembly.